This 4743-nucleotide long non-coding RNA is filed under the name Drosophila guanche. The record is from RNAcentral. Lineage: Eukaryota; Metazoa; Arthropoda; Insecta; Diptera; Drosophilidae.
GUUUUUUUUUGCAAGCUGUAGAUGAAAGUGGAUUUACCGCCUCUGACUCUUCGACUUUUCCCUGGUGAGUGCAUAAUUUUGACAGCCGCGACAAAACUAAUUGAUUUGUGAAAUCCACUAAGCCGAGGGCCUCUGCUUCCUGGACACACACAUUGAGUCGAUGGGGGGAAAACGGUGCCCGAUUCCCGAGAGCAUGUGGUCGCUGAUUGGGUGAUCAGCAACACGACAAGGACUCUGACAAGGACUCCACGCUGGCUGACAUUAUGGUUUCAUUGCCAAAACCACACUUAGGCGAGAGCUUCACGCUUGAGGUGACUGCUACGCCUGCCUCAUUAACCAUAGAACAGAUCUAUUGAAAACUAUGGGAAAUGCAUAAGCGAAUUCCAAGUAGACACCGUGGCCACAGACAAUGUCCAUGUAAUUUUCAAUUAACGCCACAAGAUCUCCUCUGCCUCCUCGCCUCCCUUCGAGGACGAACUUCUUUGGCCAAAAACUGAAACCCAAAGCGAAACUUUCGCCCAUUUCGUUCCACUGCUGGACAGCAUUGAGUCUCAUAAUUGAUCGUAAUGUGCGAUAUUUCUCCUCACUGCACGCUGUCAACAGGCUCGACGAUUGUCACAUGGCUGGGCCCGAGGCUGGACACCAGCAGGACAUCGGCAUUUGUCGCGCUCUGCGAGUCCUCGUCCUCGUCCUCGCACUUUGCCUUUCUGCCACUGUCCCCUGUGGGCCUGGCUGUCGACAGGAUACGAAACCUCGCUCUCGGUCCGCAUUUUAUGGCCAAACAAUGCCCAUGAUCGAUCUAUCCAUUCUAUCUAUCCAUCUUUACAGGCCUCAAAAAUCAAGCGAUUUUUUAUGCAUCCAGUGCGAAACGCUUCAAUGCCUGGCACUAAUCAGAGGCCGCUCUCUACUACCUCUUUCCCCUAUCCUUUGGGUAUUUUCUUUGUAAAUCUUAGUUUAUUGAUAAAUCUUGUGACAAUCCUAGAUUUUGAAUGAAUCCCCCCGCUUCUUAACUUCUUAGGUAGCACCAUCCCGACCGGAUUUAAGUCUAUUUUCGCCUUUAUGAUCUGCCUUCACUUUUACGGCUGUCACUUGCCACAGGUACGAGUACGCCGCAAACUUUGCAAAGUUUAUGGGUGCACAAAGGGUACACCACAGGUAGUGGUCGAGGGUGUGGUGCAAAUAUUUAGGAACCCAUUGUGAAGGAAGAAUUAAAUGUAUUAUUUUGUAGCUCGCUGAGUGGCAGGCGAGAAAUUAAAUUAAAAGUUAUAGGGGGAGAAUUCGAAAGAUUUAAGGGUCGAAUUGCUCAAAACAAAGCGUAAAUUUCAUCUUAAUACAACUUUAAUAUUAUACAAAAAUUGUAGAUAAUUUUGAAGCCCGAGAAGACUGAACGCUCGUCUUGAACCUCCCAUGCAGAAAUUCUCCAUCAGAAUAUGCUUAAAAAUGCAUUAAACUUUAUUCAAGAGUGCAUUAGAAAUUCUUUUGAAUUAGUUUUGAACGAUUUUGGCUGUCAACUCUCUUUGGUUGUGGCUUCAUAUUCAAUUAAAUCAAGAACUUUUCUAUGCAAUUAAGUUGUCAGGAAAUAAAUGUUUAUUUGGGAGCAAAAAUACAAAUGAAUAUAAAUAUUAUUCCCCAGCUUGAGGAACAUUUUGAGCCUUCAAGGAGAACCCUCCCUUUGGUGCAGUUGGUACAGUUACCACUUGGUGCUACCCCGAUCCCGAAUCCCGAAUCCGAUGCCGAUUCUGACACACACAAAGAGCGACGUCUUACUCCACACACACUCAGGCAAACACACGCUAGUGGGAGAGAGAAACGAACCCAAUGGCUGGCUGGACAUGGUGCUGCUACUAACGAGCAAUUAUCGCCAGCUCCCAGGCGUUGUUUCACGAUUUCACACGCCCAGCGAGAGUGAGAGACGCAUAGAGUGAUUUCAAAAGAGCGUGAGAGAGGGAGAGAGAGCCAAAACCCUGCGAGAUAUCCUGUAUAGAAGGCAGCAAAUCCUCAUCACGCAUUUGCUACGCUUUGGGGGGGAGUCCAGCCAGCCAGCCAGCCAGCCAGCAGCAUGGAAACCUGCAAAAGGCAAACACACAAAAAUACACACAAAUACAAAGUCAAACUGAACACACAGAUACACAAUACAGAUGCAGAUGUGUGUGUUGUUGCUGCAUAUUGUUAGGACACAAUGGAUGAAAAUAUUUUCGUCCUGUUGUCAAAUGAUUGCAUUUAAUGUAUCGAAAUCUGCGUGACGAAUCAAUUUAGUUCUGGCAAGCUGCAAUGGGAAAAAACGAGAAAUGGAAUCGGUAGAGGGAUUGGGAUCGGGAUCGGGAUCGGGAUCGGGCAUGGCAACCAGUUGCCUUUAUAAUUCGAUCAACUAUGGGUUAGAUAUCUCUGUUUCUGUGUCUGUUUGGUCAGCCAUUUGCCUUGCAUCCUGUCUGGCACAUGGCGCAGACCGCAGAGACAACUUAAUCAAUAAGUUUCACUCUGCAGCGAAGGCUGCGAAAUAUUUUUUAUGUGGAACCAAUGGGUUUUAGUUCUCGUUACAGUGGGUGUUGUCAGGCAAGUAGCUGUGCCACGAUCAUGGUUCUCCCUAGCGAUCCUUUGGGCAUUUUACGAUCUGUCCCUAAUUCGGCUCUUGGCUUGCCCAUAAAGUUGUCAAAGAGGAGUUGCUGAAGUUCUUCAAUUGCUCAUGGCAGCCAGCUGUUGUCAUAUGUGUGGGGCGGAGCCAGAACCUACUUGAGAGAAACUUAAACACAUAUGGAAAACAAAUAAAAUACAUUUUAAACGCUUGAAAAGACGAGGUGUGGGCUCUGGAGAGGGGCUGCCUGUUCUGACAGCUCAAAUUAUGGUGAGAUUAGAGGACAGGCAAGGGAGUUGGGGAGUGCUAAUAGGGGGCUAUUGUGAGCUUUAUUGAUAUUGGGGUACAAGAUCUGGGUACAAGAUUUCAUGAAUUUAAUUAAAUAUAUUCAUUUAUUUCCAAUUAUUCCUUCCUUGGCAGGCUCCCACCAUAUCAUAAUCAGCUCGUAACAAUCUCUUUAUAAGCCCAGCCUCAUUGUCACAAUGUUUUUCCACCUCUUGCUGUUUUCUCACCUCCGUUGGACACUUUUCUUGCAUUGAUUUGCCAGCGCAUUAUCGCUUGAUCUCUUAACUGAUCUCCACAUAUCGAUUACAGUGACAGUGCUAGAAAAAGUAUCCCUUACAAAAGUGAGUUGUUCCCCGAAAACCCAUUAACCCGAUUGUGUGCCAAAUGUGACAACAUAAUCCACAUAGAGACGAGAGGGAAAUCUCAUUGGGUAGCUCCAUCUCCCUCAUCAGCGUCGUGAUUUUCGUCUAAUCUUGUGAUUUGUACAAAAACAAAAACAUUUGACAACAUUAUCAAGGCGUCGGCAAAGAUGACAACCGCCGCACUAAAAAGGAUCCAUAGAGAAGCAGAAGCUACAGAGGAUUGGGAGUGGGGCAGCCAAGACCAAAAGAAGCCACCGACGCGUAUUGUUGUCAACGUGCCGAAAGGUGGCAAGGUGGAAAUAGAGCUGUAACCAACUCAAAAUGUCACCUGAAAAGCAAAGCAAAAGAAGCAGCCGUUCGACCAAUCCAAAGGCUAGAAGAAAAAGGACAUGGAUCGAGCGAACGAUCGACCGAUCGACCGAUCGAUGGACCGACUUUGAUGCCUUUGUGCUGGGCCAGGACACAUUUUAUCACAUUGUCAUUGCGGACAUUGCGGACAGAACUAGAAAGCAGCCGCCAAGCCAGCAAAUGUCUCAAUUAUUCCUUUUCUUUUCUUUUCUUUCUUUAGACUGACUUUGGGAAACAGGCAACGCCUCGAUGAUGACUCUGAACAUUGUGUGCACGUUGCUCCUCAGCGGGCGAUCCUUGAUUUAUGCGACGGCGAUCCUUGAUCCUGGAGCCCCAGUCAGCCAGCAGCACACGCAAUCAAAGGAUCAGACAGAGCCACCGCAUGUAUAUAUGUAUGUAUGAGUAUAUAUGUCUGUAUAUAAUCACCACAAAUGAUCGCAGCGCGUGCAAAAUGUUUGAGGCAACAGCGGCAUGGCGUGGCGUGGCGUGGCGUGGCGUGGCGUGGCAUCCCCUGCCUGCCUGAUCUUAAGCCAACAACAAACGAUUCCGAUUCAAAUACAAAACAACACAAUUAAACAGUCAAAAAGAAGGAAUUUCGGAGCAUGCAGGAGAGGUAGAAGGAGCCAUAAGCGGAUUGCUGCCUGAGUUUCGUUCGUUCUUCCUUUAAUAGUCUUAAAAAUUGAUUCCUUUUUGGCCUUAUUGAAAUGAGCAGCAGCCGAACGAUGGCCCGUUUCUGUUGCUGUUGCUGUUGCUGUUGCCGUUGCCGUUGCCGCCUUUUGUGUGUCGGUUUGGACGUGUUAACACAGCAAUUAACUUUUUACAACGGCUGCUAAAGAGCAAGAAUUUAUGUUUGAUUUAUGCAGCAACAGGAUAUGUCAAAAGGAUCUACAAGGAACAACACACAAAAAACAGCUUGCAACAGCUGGCAAAAUGUGUUGUCUAAUGGGAUCGAGGUAUGCCCGAUGAUGAUCGGUUUAUGGAGCGGUCAGAAAUUGGAUUGUGUCUUAAGAAUAUAUGAGUCAAGGAUAUGGAUAAGGGAUUGCCAUGGCAGUGCAGCUUAUGUCGAGAAAAUCGGACUCUGGAAUGAAGAUUAGAAGAUCUUUCAACAAUUACUAAGCAAAACUGGUGCGAAAAUAGGUCCAAAUAUUUAUGAAUUAUAUCUUGUAUAAUCUUAAC